UACGUAGGGUGCAAGCGUUAAUCGGAAUUACUGGGCGUAAAGCGUGCGCAGGCGGUUCUAUAAGACAGAUGUGAAAUCCCCGGGCUCAACCUGGGAACUGCAUUUGUGACUGUAGAGCUGGAGUGCGGCAGAGGGGGAUGGAAUUCCGCGUGUAGCAGUGAAAUGCGUAGAUAUGCGGAGGAACACCGAUGGCGAAGGCAGCCCCCUGGGAUAACACUGACGCUCAUGCACGAAAGCGUGGGGAGCAAACAGG
This 253-nucleotide ribosomal RNA is filed under the name uncultured bacterium. Its description in RNAcentral is "partial 16S ribosomal RNA". It matches the Rfam family "Bacterial small subunit ribosomal RNA", at positions 524 to 776 of the family's 1533-position model. The record is from RNAcentral.